AACGCUGGCGGCGUGCCUAAUACAUGCAAGUCGAGCGAGCUGAACCAACAGAUUCACUUCGGUGAUGACGCUGGGAACGCGAGCGGCGGAUGGGUGAGUAACACGUGGGGAACCUGCCCCAUAGUCUGGGAUACCACUUGGAAACAGGUGCUAAUACCGGAUAAGAAAGCAGAUCGCAUGAUCAGCUUAUAAAAGGCGGCGUAAGCUGUCGCUAUGGGAUGGCCCCGCGGUGCAUUAGCUAGUUGGUAAGGUAACGGCCUACCAAGGCAAUGAUGCAUAGCCGAGUUGAGAGACUGAUCGGCCACAUUGGGACUGAGACACGGCCCAAACUCCUACGGGAGGCAGCAGUAGGGAAUCUUCCACAAUGGACGAAAGUCUGAUGGAGCAACGCCGCGUGAGUGAAGAAGGUUUUCGGAUCGUAAAGCUCUGUUGUUGGUGAAGAAGGAUAGAGGUAGUAACUGGCCUUUAUUUGACGGUAAUCAACCAGAAAGUCACGGCUAACUA
RNAcentral lists this ribosomal RNA (504 nucleotides) under Lactobacillus acidophilus. RNAcentral describes it as "bacterial SSU rRNA". It matches the Rfam family "Bacterial small subunit ribosomal RNA", at positions 32 to 503 of the family's 1533-position model. The record is from RNAcentral. Lineage: Bacteria; Bacillati; Bacillota; Bacilli; Lactobacillales; Lactobacillaceae.